This 497-nucleotide long non-coding RNA is filed under the name Lathyrus oleraceus (garden pea). RNAcentral describes it as "Pisum sativum (pea) long non-coding RNA (PSAT_LNC022450)". Lineage: Eukaryota; Viridiplantae; Streptophyta; Magnoliopsida; Fabales; Fabaceae. The record is from RNAcentral.
CUUACUCAGGGAAUUCUUGGACUUCGAUUAAAGGUUUUUUUUUGGAAAUCAUCGUGGUUCUGGUAUGAAUCUCAGGUUUUUAAUUGAUUCUUAUAGGGUCUUAACAAGAAAAUUCUUAUCAAUAAUAAUAAUAUCAGGGAAUUCUUGGACUUCGAUUAAAGGUUUUUUUUUGGAAAUCAUCGUGGUUCUGGUAUGAAUCUCAGGUUUUUAAUUGAUUCUUAUAGGGUCUUAACAAGAAAAUUCUUAUCAAUAAUAAUAAUUAUAAAAAAAACAGCAGUAAAAUCUUAUUACAGACACAAUACAAAAAAAAUGAAGUAAAUAAUAGAAGAUUCACGAGGCUGGUAAGGAUCAAGAGAAAAGACGAGUGAGCCGACUUGAAAUUUUGGCAUUAUAAACACUAAGAAUAUUUUUUGGAUUUCUAUUUUUUUUUAUCUUCAAAAAAUACUGGAAUCAUAGGAUUAAGUUAAGAAGUGUAAAACUUUCUAUUACACAUAUCU